UACGUAGGGUGCAAGCGUUGUCCGGAAUUAUUGGGCGUAAAGAGCUCGUAGGCGGUUCGUCGCGUCGGCUGUGAAAUCCCGGAGCUCAACUCCGGGUCUGCAGUCGAUACGGGCGGACUCGAGUUCGGCAGGGGAGACUGGAAUUCCUGGUGUAGCGGUGAAAUGCGCAGAUAUCAGGAGGAACACCAGGUGGCGAAGGCGGGCGUCUGGCG
RNAcentral lists this ribosomal RNA (212 nucleotides) under uncultured bacterium. RNAcentral describes it as "partial 16S ribosomal RNA". It matches the Rfam family "Bacterial small subunit ribosomal RNA", at positions 524 to 734 of the family's 1533-position model. The record is from RNAcentral.